This 432-nucleotide ribosomal RNA is filed under the name uncultured bacterium. Its description in RNAcentral is "partial 16S ribosomal RNA". It matches the Rfam family "Bacterial small subunit ribosomal RNA", at positions 338 to 795 of the family's 1533-position model. The record is from RNAcentral.
CCUACGGGAGGCAGCAGUGGGGAAUAUUGGACAAUGGGGGCAACCCUGAUCCAGCAAUGCCGCGUGAGUGAUGAAGGCCUUAGGGUUGUAAAGCUCUUUUACCGGGGAGGCGGUACCCGGAGAAUAAGCCCCGGCUAACUUCGUGCCAGCAGCCGCGGUAAUACGAAGGGGGCGAGCGUUGUUCGGAGUUACUGGGCGUAAAGGGCGCGUAGGCGGCGUUCCAAGUUAGGCGUGAAAGCCCCGGGCUCAACCUGGGAAUUGCGCUUAAGACUGGAAUGCUUGAGUGCGGAAGAGGUGAGUGGAAUUCCCAGUGUAGAGGUGAAAUUCGUAGAUAUUGGGAAGAACACCAGUGGCGAAGGCGGCUCACUGGUCCGCACUGACGCUGAGGCGCGAAAGCGUGGGGAGCAAACAGGAUUAGAUACCCUUGUAGUC